GACGAACGCUGGCGGCGUGCUUAACACGUGCAAGUCGUACGGUAAGGCCCUUUCGGGGGUACACGAGUGGCGCACGGGUGAGUAACACGUGAGUAACCUGCCCACAACUUUGGGAUAACGCUAGGAAACUGGUGCUAAUACUGGAUAUGUGCUCCUGCUGCAUGGUGGGGGUUGGAAAGCUCCGGCGGUUGUGGAUGGACUCGCGGCCUAUCAGCUUGUUGGUGGGGUAGUGGCCUACCAAGGCGGCGACGGGUAGCCGGCCUGAGAGGGUGACCGGCCACAUUGGGACUGAGAGACGGCACAGACGCCUACGGGAGGCAGAAGUGGGGAAUAUUGAACAAUGGGCGCAAGCCUGAUGCAGCAACGCCGCGUGCGGGAUGACGGCCUUCGGGUUGUAAAACGCUUUCAGCAGGGACGAAGCUUUUUGUGACGGUACCUGCAGAAGAAGCACCGGCUAACUACGUG
This 465-nucleotide ribosomal RNA is filed under the name uncultured bacterium. RNAcentral's name for it is "partial 16S ribosomal RNA". It matches the Rfam family "Bacterial small subunit ribosomal RNA", at positions 28 to 507 of the family's 1533-position model. The record is from RNAcentral.